Corticium candelabrum is the source of this 2469-nucleotide long non-coding RNA. RefSeq lists it as uncharacterized. NCBI's taxonomy places the organism in Eukaryota, Metazoa, Porifera, Homoscleromorpha, Homosclerophorida, Plakinidae. The record is from RefSeq and is a predicted model, not a curated record. The transcript is spliced from 4 exons.
CUGAGUUGUGUUAGUCUACGAGUUCUGCUGUAUAGUGGUAUUGUACGUCUGGAGUACGUACUAUGCAAGUAGAGAAUAUAUUACAGUAUGUAUUGCAGUUUUGGUGUAUCGGUUGCUAGAAAAUUGCACUGCGCAAGCGCACAAAAACAGCAAUGCGCACUCGUGCGUUUGCUCUCUUUGCGCAAGAAUGUGGUCACCAAUUACAGCAUCGUAUCAUGAAAACGUAAUUCACUACAAAAAUCCGAGGAAUGUUGGAAGCUUUGACAAAGAUGAUAAGAAUGUGGGAACGAGUUUGGUCAGAGCUCCGGCGUGUGGAGACGUCGUGAAACUGCAGUGAUUGCAGUAUGUAAAAUCUCACUUCAUUGAAUCAAUUGAUGUUACGACGUUGUGCUCUGGGCACCGAGGUUGCGAGAAGUGUUGCGCAUGCGGUAAUGGCAAGCUCUGACAUGGCAGAACAAAAGAAAGCAAAACUGAUAUCUGCAGGCGAGGAGUAAGGGAACACUUGUGUGUGACAUGUGCGUUAUCAUUUUCUUUGUAUUCUAGAAUCGGGCAACCGACCGUCGUUUAUUAUUUUGGUCUUACAUUUCUAAAAGUCGAGCUGUCUUGUGCUGUCCAAGCUAUCGUUGGACGACAACUAGUACCGCCGGCGGCUACGCGGCCAAAAGAUGAGCUGAAGUGGAAGGAAUUCCUGGCUUCUGUGGACGAUGACCUGAAAUUAUAUUCAAUGCUGUGUGUGGCUGUGAAAAAAAGUGAAAAAAGAGAGUGUGCUACAAUUUAAAUGUGUUCCUAUGCCUGGGGACAGGAAGAUGUUUAUAUAUAUACAUGAUAAAACCAUGUCAUUCUUAGAUGUAGAUAAAACCAAACUUUGGCAGGACUGUCUAUCCAAGAAUUAGUAUAGGAAGGAGCAAGUCAGUGAAAUGUACAAGGAAGAUGAUAGAUGUACUACGUUGAUCCCAUAUUUCAGAUUAAAUCCAUCCAUUCCUCAAAAUCAUCCUUCUUGUUUUCCAAUGUUGGUCUGAAACAACGUAUGGCAGCAGACGAUCUUAUGGAAGAGGGCUGGACACAUAGACUGGAGUGGUGUUUAUAUAAGCUGUAUGACCCAAAAAUUGCAUUUGCCAUGUGCUUUGGGGAUGAUUGGAUGCGAGUGGGUACGUGGGACCUUGACAAAGAAUUUUGCUGGCAUCCUUUUUUGGGUACACCAGAUAUGCUUGCUGUAAAGACACCAGAAACUACACCUGUCGUGGUGGCUAAAACAGGAGACCUCAUUGAAUGCAAAGAAUCAAACCCUGGUGAUGGAGGACAGCUAUAUGCAGCCAUUUUGUUGACUGCUGGUACUGCAAUUUUAAGGCGUUUGGUGAACCAGCUGGAUGUGCCAGAAAAACAGUGACAGUGAGGGCCUUCUAAUAAAUAGGCAAUAUGACUGCAGCAUCUGCCAGCUAGAAGUCAAGCCGUUUGGCAAAGGCUAUCCCAAUUGGAGUCAUUGUGUCAUCGCUAAUGGGGCACAGAAGGAAGUGAACUUACUAUGGACGUUGAACAAGCCAUGGGAACUUCCAACUGAAGCUGAUCGUGCCUGACUCCUGGUAACACCGUGUCAGUUGUGUUGCAAGUUACAAAGGUAAUGCAUGCAUUACCUUUGUAUAGACACGGCCUACUUUGACAGAAAAUGAUAGCUACAGAUAGUCUAUUAUCAAACACUUUCGCCUGUGAUAAUUUUGAGCACUCACUAAAGUUGUUCUGUAAGCAUUAGGUGAGAACUUUAGCUCAAAAGUUGGUUGAGAACCCCAUUGUCUAUCUGUCCAAAUACAAGCCCCAAUGAAAUUCAAGUCUCGGAGCUUUAAUUCAAACUGCUUUGCACCUUAGUCUGAGUGUUGUUCUUAAUAAAAGACCCAGACUGAAUAGAAGAUCCACUCCGUCUUAGAGUAGGACAUAAACCGAGUGGGUGAAGUCUUGUGCCAAGCAAUACCGACCCUUCUUUUUAUCCGAGAGGUCACACCUGAGUUCUGCAAGCUCCGGAUGUUACGGGUGGCUUUACUGUAAGCGAGAUGUUGAAUAGAGUUGGACAGUGUGGGAGAGUGAACUGCAAGGAAGAAGCCAACAGUAUUUGUAGCAUUACAUUUCUCUGCAGGCUAUGUUGUUACUAAAUUUAUUUUAGUAAAUAUAAGUGGAUAAAUAUUUUAUGCUUACGAGUGAUAUCUCUGUGGACGGACAGACUUACCAAGGGACAGAUGGACAAUUGGAAUGCAGUGCAUACCCUCAUUGCUAUUGCUGGUGUUAAUUAGUUAGUUAUAAGAAACAUUAUUAGAUAAGGACAUUGAGGGAUAUUGUUUGUAUUGUACUAGAGUGGUAUUGUCAAUUAUAAUGGUGAAGUGAUGAUGUUGCUAGUUGGUGGUGUGACUGGGACUGUAUUUAGUGAAAGCAUACAUUGAUAAUGAUUUUGUUUGAAGUCAUGAUUAUGAUGUUGGAAUUCAU